GUGAGUGUAGUUCAGUGGUUAGAGCGCCAGAUUGUGAUUCUGGAUGUCGUGGGUUCGAAUCCCAUCAUUCACCCCA
RNAcentral lists this transfer RNA (76 nucleotides) under Alkalibaculum sporogenes. Its description in RNAcentral is "Alkalibaculum sp. M08DMB tRNA-His". It matches the Rfam family "tRNA". Rfam says of the family: Transfer RNA (tRNA) molecules are approximately 80 nucleotides in length. Their secondary structure includes four short double-helical elements and three loops (D, anti-codon, and T loops). The record is from RNAcentral. Lineage: Bacteria; Bacillati; Bacillota; Clostridia; Eubacteriales; Eubacteriaceae.